This 440-nucleotide ribosomal RNA is filed under the name uncultured Bradyrhizobiaceae bacterium. RNAcentral's name for it is "bacterial SSU rRNA". It matches the Rfam family "Bacterial small subunit ribosomal RNA", at positions 338 to 795 of the family's 1533-position model. The record is from RNAcentral. Lineage: Bacteria; Pseudomonadati; Pseudomonadota; Alphaproteobacteria; Hyphomicrobiales; Nitrobacteraceae.
CCUACGGGGGGCAGCAGUGGGGAAUAUUGGACAAUGGGCGCAAGCCUGAUCCAGCCAUGCCGCGUGAGUGAUGAAGGCCCUAGGGUUGUAAAGCUCUUUUGUGCGGGAAGAUAGUGACGGUACCGCAAGAAUAAGCCCCGGCUCACUUCGUGCCAGCAGGCGCGGUAAUACGAAGGGGGCUAGCGUUGCUCGGAAUUACUGGGCGUAAAGGGUGCGUAGGCGGGUCCUUAAGUCAGGGGUGAAAGCCUGGAGCUCAACCCCAGAACUGCCUUUGAUACUGGGGAUCUUGAGUUCGGGAGAGGUGAGUGGAACUGCGAGUGUAGAGGUGAAAUUCGUAGAUAUUCGCAAGAACACCAGUGGCGAAGGCGGCUCACUGGCCCGAUACUGACGCUGAGGCACGAAAGCGUGGGGAGCAUACAGGAUUAGAUACCUCUGUAGUC